GGCCGGAUGGUGAAACGGGAACACUCUUGUCUGCAAAACAAGCAUGAGCGGGUUCGACUCCCGCUCCGGCCU
RNAcentral lists this transfer RNA (72 nucleotides) under bacterium. RNAcentral describes it as "tRNA-Cys". It matches the Rfam family "tRNA". From Rfam's summary of the family: Transfer RNA (tRNA) molecules are approximately 80 nucleotides in length. The record is from RNAcentral.